UACAGAGGUCUCAAGCGUUAUUCGGAAUUAUUGGGCGUAAAGGGCGCGUAGGCGGCUUUGCAAGUGACGGGUGAAAUCCCUCGGCUUAACCGAGGAACUGCCUGUCAAACUGCGUGGCUUGAGACCGGGAGAGGUGAGUGGAAUUCCCAGUGUAGCGGUGAAAUGCGUAGAUAUUGGGAGGAACACCAGUGGCGAAGGCGGCUCACUGGACCGGUACUGACGCUGAUGCGCGAAAGCGUGGGGAGCAAACAGG
This 253-nucleotide ribosomal RNA is filed under the name uncultured bacterium. RNAcentral's name for it is "partial 16S ribosomal RNA". It matches the Rfam family "Bacterial small subunit ribosomal RNA", at positions 524 to 776 of the family's 1533-position model. The record is from RNAcentral.